This 851-nucleotide ribosomal RNA is filed under the name uncultured bacterium. Its description in RNAcentral is "bacterial SSU rRNA". It matches the Rfam family "Bacterial small subunit ribosomal RNA", at positions 60 to 911 of the family's 1533-position model. The record is from RNAcentral.
AGUCGAGGGCGCCCUUCUGAGGGGUGAGACGCGGGCGGACGGGUGAGUAACGCGUGGGGACGUGCCCUUUGCUGCGGAAUAGCCACUGGAAACGUGAGUGAGUAAUACCGCAUGAGCCCUUCGGGGGAAAGAUUUAUCGGCAAAGGAUCGGCCCGCGUUGGAUUAGGUUGAAGUUGGUGGGGUAAUGGCCUACCAAGCCGACGAUCCAUGGAGCUGGUUUUAGAGGAUGAUCAGCCUGACACUGGGUGAACUGAGACACGUGAGCCCAGACUCCUACGGGAGGCAGCAGUGGGGAAUCUUAGACAAUGGGCGCAAGCCUGUGAAUCUAGCCAUGCCGCGUGAGUGACGAAGGCCCUAGGGUCGUAAAGCUCUUUCGCCUGUGAUGAUAAUGACAUGAGUCCAGCAGGUAAAGAAACCCCGGCUAACUCCGUGCCAGCAGCCGCGGUAAUACGGAGGGGGUUAGCGUUGUUUGACGGAAUUACUGGGCCGGUAAAGCGCGCGUAGGCGGAUUGGAAAGUGUUGGGGGUGAAAUCCCGGGGCUCAACCCCUGAGGAACUGCCUCCAAAACUUCCAGUCUGGAGUUCGAGAGAGGUGAGUAAGGAAUUGAGUGUAGAGGUGAAAUUGAUCGUAGAUAUUCGGAGGAACACCAGUGGCGAAGGCGGCUCACGCUCGAUACUGACGCAGGUGCGAAAUGAGUGUGGGGAGCAAACGGGAUUAGAUACCCUGGUAGUCCACACCGUAAACGAUGAAUGCCAGUCGUCGGCAAUGAGCAUGCUUGUCGGUGACACACCUAACGGAUUAAGCAUUCCGCCUGGGGAGUACGGCCAAGGUUACAACUUGACAAAUGAAUU